This 483-nucleotide ribosomal RNA is filed under the name uncultured bacterium. RNAcentral's name for it is "bacterial SSU rRNA". It matches the Rfam family "Bacterial small subunit ribosomal RNA", at positions 28 to 507 of the family's 1533-position model. The record is from RNAcentral.
GAUGAACGCUGGCGGCGUGCCUAACACAUGCAAGUCGAACGAAGCACAUACGACGGAACUCUUCGGAGGGAAGAUGUGUGUGACUGAGUGGCGGACGGGUGAGUAACGCGUGGGUAACCUGCCCUAUACAGGGGGGCAACAGUUGGAAACGACUGCUAAUACCGCAUAAGCGCACAGUACCGCAUGGUACAGAGCGAAAAACUCCGGUGGUAUAGGAUGGGCCCGCGUCUGAUUAGUUAGUUGGCGGUGUAACGGACCACCAAGACGACGAUCAGUAGCCGGCUUGAGAGAGUGAACGGCCACAUUGGGACUGAGACACGGCCCAAACUCCUACGGGAGGCAGCAGUGGGGAAUAUUGCACAAUGGGGGGAAACCCUGAUGCAGCAACGCCGCGUGAGUGAAGAAGUAUUUCGGUAUGUAAAGCUCUAUCAGCAGGGAAGAAAAAUGACGGUACCUGACUAAGAAGCCCCGGCUAACUACGUG